CUACGGGUCGCUGCAGUGGGGAAUCUUAGACAAUGGGCGCAAGCCUGAUCUAGCCAUGCCGCGUGAGUGACGAAGGCCUUAGGGUCGUAAAGCUCUUUCGCUGGGGAAGAUAAUGACGGUACCCAGUAAAGAAACCCCUGCUAACUCCGUGCCAGCAGCCGCGGUAAUACGGAGGGGGUUAGCGUUGAUCGGAAUUACUGGGCGUAAAGCGCGCGUAGGCGGAUCAGAAAGUUGGGGGUGAAAUCCCGGGGCGCAACCCCGGAACUGCCUUCAAAACUCCUGGUCUUGAGUUCGAGAGAGGUGAGUGGAAUUCCGAGUGUAGAGGUGAAAUUCGUAGAUAUUCGGAGGAACACCAGUGGCGAAGGCGGCUCACUGGCUCGAUACUGACGCUGAGGUGCGAAAGCGUGGGGAGCAAACAGGAUUAGAUACCCGGGUAGUC
This 439-nucleotide ribosomal RNA is filed under the name uncultured bacterium. RNAcentral's name for it is "partial 16S ribosomal RNA". It matches the Rfam family "Bacterial small subunit ribosomal RNA", at positions 339 to 795 of the family's 1533-position model. The record is from RNAcentral.